UACGUAGGUGACAAGCGUUGUCCGGAUUUACUGGGCGUAAAGCGCGCGCAGGCGGUCGUUUAAGUCGAGUGUGAAAGCCCCCGGCUCAACUGGGGAGGGUCACUCGAUACUGAUCGACUCGAAGGCAGGAGAGGGUAGUGGAAUUCCCGGUGUAGUGGUGAAAUGCGUAGAUAUCGGGAGGAACACCAGUGGCGAAGGCGACUACCUGGCCUGUUCUUGACGCUGAGGCGCGAAAGCUAGGGGAGCAAACGGG
RNAcentral lists this ribosomal RNA (253 nucleotides) under uncultured bacterium. RNAcentral's name for it is "partial 16S ribosomal RNA". It matches the Rfam family "Bacterial small subunit ribosomal RNA", at positions 524 to 776 of the family's 1533-position model. The record is from RNAcentral.